Molecule: long non-coding RNA, 589 nt
Filed under: Nicotiana benthamiana
Lineage: Eukaryota; Viridiplantae; Streptophyta; Magnoliopsida; Solanales; Solanaceae
Description: long non-coding RNA (NBEN_LNC029560)
Source: RNAcentral
CAACUAAUAUUUUUGAACAAUUCAUUUUUAAAGUGAGUUCAACCAACUUAUGGAUGAGACUUCAUUUUGAAACUUACGGAUGAGACUUCAAUGAAUUCAACCAAAAUAAUUCCUUAUCAUCUUUCAAAAUUUCCUUCAAAACGUGACAUAUUGUAAACAUCUUCAACAAUUCAUGAAGAUAGGAAUGGAAACUUUAAUAUUCCAGCAAGGAUAGCCAUAUAAGAGUUUGAUCAAAUUCAUCAAAAUGGAGAUGUUCUACAUUACCAACGAUCUUCAACAACGAAUUCUUGCUAAGUUAUACGACAUGAUAGUGACGAAAUUUGCAAUUUCAAGGAACCCGGUAUAAUCUUUCUCAAGAAUAUCAUGCGGAUUAUUUUUCUACUAUGGUCCACCGUUACGUGUUGUCGCAAUUGACUUGUGUUAGGGGUAUUGUUAAGAGAAUUGGCUCAGGCAUAUUAAGGCUAUCCCUUCUUUCCACAAAUGAAACAAGUAAAUGUACAACUUCCAUAAAUGACUCUAUUUAUAGAAGUAUUAGAGGUACCUAUUUUUUUGAAUUCAUAUAUGUCUUAUUAUUACACCUUCUGUGCAA